This 254-nucleotide ribosomal RNA is filed under the name uncultured bacterium. RNAcentral describes it as "partial 16S ribosomal RNA". It matches the Rfam family "Bacterial small subunit ribosomal RNA", at positions 524 to 776 of the family's 1533-position model. The record is from RNAcentral.
UACGGGGGGAGCAAGCGUUGUUCGGAUUUACUGGGCGUAAAGGGCGCGUAGGCGGUCGUGACAAGUCACUUGUGAAAUCUCCGGGCUUAACUCGGAACGGUCAGAUGAUACUGUUUUGCUAGAGUGCAGAAGGGGCAAUCGGAAUUCUUGGUGUAGCGGUGAAAUGCGCAGAUAUCAGGAGGAACACCGGUGGCGAAGGCGGAUCUCUGGGCCGUAACUGACGCUGAGGAGCGAAAGCAUGGGGAGCGAACAGG